CCUACGGGUGGCAGCAGUGAGGAAUAUUGGUCAAUGGACGGAAGUCUGAACCAGCCAUGCCGCGUGCAGGAAGACGGCUCUAUGAGUUGUAAACUGCUUUUGUACAAGGGUAAACCUGAAUACGUGUAUUCCGCUGACAGUGCUUUACGACUAAGGAUCGGCUAACUCCGUGCCAGCAGCCGCGGUAAUACGGAGGAUCCAAGGGUUAUCCGGAUUUAUUGGGUUGAAAGGGUGCGUAGGCGGAUUGCUAAGUUAGAGGUGAAAUGUCCGGGCUUAACUCGGGAACUGCCUCUAAUACUGUUGAUCUAGAGAGUAGAUGCGGUAGGCGGAAUGUAUGGUGUAGCGGUGAAAUGCUUAGAGAUCAGACAGAACACCGAUUGCGAAGGCAGCUUACUAAGCUAUAUCUGACGUUGAGGCACGAAAGCGUGGGGAGCAAACAGGAUUAGAUACCCUUGUAGUC
RNAcentral lists this ribosomal RNA (460 nucleotides) under uncultured bacterium. RNAcentral describes it as "partial 16S ribosomal RNA". It matches the Rfam family "Bacterial small subunit ribosomal RNA", at positions 338 to 795 of the family's 1533-position model. The record is from RNAcentral.